UUGUCGGUUAAAGUCCGACCAUGGGAAUUCGGUAGUUCACCCAUGUAGCUUGAGGGAGGUGUAAAGGGUGACCUGAAGCACUAAGUUUCCUGACAAAGGCUCCUUAGGGGAGUUGAGCGAACCUGCGGGUUGCAGCGCAA
Candidatus Aenigmarchaeota archaeon CG1_02_38_14 is the source of this 140-nucleotide non-coding RNA. The record is from Rfam. Lineage: Archaea; Nanobdellati; Candidatus Aenigmatarchaeota.